Phrynosoma platyrhinos (Desert horned lizard) is the source of this 73-nucleotide non-coding RNA. The record is from the annotation of a GenBank genome assembly. Lineage: Eukaryota; Metazoa; Chordata; Lepidosauria; Squamata; Phrynosomatidae.
AUGUCGAUGGUGCAGUGGUUUGAGCAUUGGACUGUGACUCUAGAGAUCAGGGUUCGAUUCCUGCUUGGCCAUG